This 253-nucleotide ribosomal RNA is filed under the name uncultured bacterium. Its description in RNAcentral is "partial 16S ribosomal RNA". It matches the Rfam family "Bacterial small subunit ribosomal RNA", at positions 524 to 776 of the family's 1533-position model. The record is from RNAcentral.
UACGAAGGGGGCUAGCGUUGCUCGGAAUCACUGGGCGUAAAGGGUGCGUAGGCGGGUCUUUAAGUCAGGGGUGAAAUCCUGGAGCUCAACUCCAGAACUGCCUUUGAUACUGGCGAGCUCGAGUCCGGGAGAGGUGAGUGGAACUGCGAGUGUAGAGGUGAAAUUCGUAGAUAUUCGCAAGAACACCAGUGGCGAAGGCGGCUCACUGGCCCGGUACUGACGCUGAGGUGCGAAAGCGUGGGGAGCAAACAGG